Molecule: long non-coding RNA, 2690 nt
Organism: Homo sapiens (human)
Lineage: Eukaryota; Metazoa; Chordata; Mammalia; Primates; Hominidae
Exons: 2
Source: RefSeq, a predicted model, not a curated record
GAUCUGAGAGCCUAAAAGAUCCCUUUUUGAUUUGAAUCCAAGAACUUCUCCAGAUUUUUAAAAAUCGAGUUCUCCAAAGAAGAGGCUGUGAUGUCGUGCACCAGAGAGACAGUCGAGAGCAGCUAGGACAGGCUUUCCGUUGGCAUAAUGGAAACCAUGUGUCCUGUACCAUUAUGGAUUUCUAAUGCUCCGUUGAGAAAAUCAGAAAGCAAUGAGAAUUAAAAAAAAAAAAAAAAAAAGCAUGUUGUACUCAGCCCAAAAGAGAUUAGAAGAGUCCAGAAUGACAUAAGGGCAGAGCACAGGACAUAGGUGACUGAAUGAGUCUUAACAAAGAAGCCAGGUCCAGGAAGAAUCAGAUGGUGGACACAGAAGAGCUUUUCAUCAAACAACAGUGAAUGGAAGUCCUAGAUUUCAGUGUAAUGUCCAAGAAUUUGCAUCAUCUGUCACCUGGCAGCUGGCAUUCCACCCCUCCCUCCAGGGGGCCUCCUUGACUACACACACAGGCUGCUUACCUGGAAGAGUCUCAUCUUUCUUACUCUUUGGCCUACAAAUCUUUGUUCAGGAGGUUCUAGUCUCUCAUUUUUCAGGUGACUCUUGUCUAUCUGUGGAAAAACUUCAUAGUUGUUUUCUUAUUAAGCCUUGGGUUUUAAUGUUAUUUCUUCAGCGUUAUAUUAUUCUUUAUUGCUAUGUCAUGAAAAAUGGUUUUAACUUUGAAUCACUGCUCUAUUUCCAUUAGCAAAUGCCUUCCUUCUUCAAGUCCUAUUAGAAACAGAGCAACACUGAAAAAGACACCAGGAUUAUUUUGCCCCUUUGCAUACCUUGUUAACUGCUCAAAUAGACUUGAAACCUUUUGUCCACCAAAUCCCAUGGCCUUGGGAAAAAGCAGUGUGUAUGGCUCUUUCUAGUCUUUUAUCUACAUUUUAAAACUAGAUUGGUAGGGGCAAGAUGGCUGAAUAUGAACAGCUCUGGUCUGCAGCUCCCAGCGAGACCAACGCAGAAGGCGGGUGAUUUCUGCAUUUCCAACUGAGGUACCCGGUUCAUCUCACAGGGACUGGUUAGAGAGUAGGUGCAGCCCAUGGAGGGCGAGCAGAAGCAGGGUGGGGCAUCACCUCACCUGGGAAGUGCAAGGGGUCAGGGAAAUCCCUCCCCUGGCCAAGGGAAGCCAUGAGGGACUGCGCCUUGAGGGACUGUGCUAUCCUGCCCAGAUACUACGCUUUUCCCAAGGUCUUUGCAACCCACAGACCAGGAGAUUCCCUCAGGUGCCUACACCACAAGGGCCCUGGAUUUCAAGCACAAAACUGGGCAACUGUUUGGGCAGACACCGAGUUAGUUGCAGGAAUAUUUUUUUGUAUUCCAGUGGUGCCUGGAACGCCAGCAAGAUAGAAACAUUCACUCCCCUGGAAAGGGGGCUGAAGCCAGGGAGCCAAGCGGUCUUGCUCAGUGGAUACCAACCCCAUGGAGCCCAGCAAGCUAAGAUCCACUGGCUUGAAAUUCUCGCUGCCAGCACAGCAGUCUAAAGUUGACCUGGGAUGCUUGAGCUUGGUGGGGGCAGGGGCGUCCGCCAUUACUGAGGCUUAAGUAUGAGGGUUUUCCACUCACAGUGUAAACAAAGCCACCAGGAAGUUAGGACCAGGUGGAGUCCACCACAGUGCUGCAAAGCUGCUGUAGCCAGACUGCCUCUCUAGAUUCCUCCUCUCUGGGCAGGGUGUCUCUGAAAGGCAACAGACCCAGUCAGAGGAAUGUGGAUAAAACUCCCAUCUCCUUGGGACAGAGCACCAGGGGGAAGGGGCGGCUGUGGGCGCAGCUUCAGCAGACUUAAAUGUUCCUGACUGCUGGCUCUGAAGAGAGCAUCACAGAUCUCCCAGCACAGCGCUCGAGCUCUGAUAAGGUACAGACUGCCUCCUCAAGUUGGUCCCUGACCCGCAUGCCUCCUGACUGGGAGACAACUCCUGGAAGGGGUUGACAGACACUUCAUAUAGGAGAGCUCCAGCUGGCAUUUGGCAGGUGCCCCUCUGGGAUGAAGCUUCUAGAGGAAGGAGCAGGCAGCAAUAUUUGCUGUUCUGCAGCUUCCAGUGGUGAUACCCAGGCAAACGGGGUCAGGAGUGGACCCCCAGCAAACUCCAGCAGAACUGCAGAAGAGGGGCCUGACUGUUAGAAGGAAAACUAACAAACAGAAAGCAAUAGUAUCAACAUCAACAAAAAGGAUGACCAUGCAAAAACUCCAUCCGAAGGUAACCAACAGCAAAGGACAAAGGUAGAUAAAUCCACGAAGAUGAGAAAUAAGCAGCGCAAAAAGGCUGAAAAUCCCAAAAACCAGUGCCUCUUCCCCUCCAAAGGAUCAAAACUCCUCACCAGCAAGGGAACAAAACUGGACGGAAAAUGAAUUUGACAAAUGGACAGAAGUAGUCUUCAGAAGGUGGGUAAUAACAAAUUCCACCGAGUUAAAGGAGCAUGUUCUAACCCAAUGCAAGGAAGCUAAGAACCUUGAUAAAAGGCUAGAGGAAUUGCUAACUAGAAUAACCAGUUUAGAGAAGAACAUAAAUGACCUGAUGGACCUGAAAAACACAGCAUGAGAACUUCAUGAAGCAUACACAAGUAUCAAUAGCUGAACUGAUCAGGUGGAAGAAAGGAUAUCAGAGAUUGAAGAUCAAUUUAAUAAAUAAAGCAUGAAGACAAGGAUAGAGAAAAAA